GAUGAAUGCUGGCGGCGUGCCUAACACAUGCAAGUCGAGCGGCAGCGCGGUCUUCGGACUGGCGGCGAGCGGCGGACGGCUGAGUAACGCGUGGGAACAUACCCCAAAGUGAGGAAUAACUGCCCGAAAGGGUGGCUAAUGCCGCAUAUGGUCUUCGGAUUAAAGGAUUUAUCCGCUUUGGGAAUGGCCUGCGUAAGAUUAGAUAGUUGGUGAGGUAAUGGCUCACCAAGUCGACGAUCUUUAACUGGGCUUAGAGGAUGAUCAGUCAGACUGGAACUGAGACACGGUCCAGACUCCUACGGGAGGCAGCAGUGAGGAAUCUUCCACAAUGGGCGAAAGCCUGAUGGAGCAACGCCGCGUGCAGGAUGAAGGCCUUCGGGUCGUAAACUGCUUUUAUAAGUGAAGAAUAUGACGGUAACUUAUGAAUAAGCACCGGCUAACUACGUGCCAGCAGCCGCCGUA
Molecule: ribosomal RNA, 462 nt
Filed under: uncultured bacterium
Lineage: Bacteria
Description: partial 16S ribosomal RNA
Rfam family: Bacterial small subunit ribosomal RNA
Source: RNAcentral